Molecule: ribosomal RNA, 1375 nt
Filed under: uncultured organism
Description: bacterial SSU rRNA
Rfam family: Bacterial small subunit ribosomal RNA
Source: RNAcentral
CUCAGGACGAACGCUGGCGGCGUGCUUAACACAUGCAAGUCGAGCGGAGAUUGCAUUUAUGUAAUCUUAGCGGCGGACGGGUGAGUAACGCGUAGGCAACCUGCCUUGCACAGAGGGAUAACACCGGGAAACUGGUGCUAAUACCACAUGAUAUCAUAACAAGGCAUCUUGAAAUGAUCAAAGGAUAAAUCCGGUGCAAGAUGGGCCUGCGUCCGAUUAGUUAGUUGGUGAGGUAACGGCUCACCAAGGCGACGAUCGGUAGCCGAACUGAGAGGUUGAUCGGCCACAUUGGAACUGAGACACGGCCCAGACUCCUACGGGAGGCAGCAGUGGGGAAUAUUGCGCAAUGGGGGGAACCCUGACGCAGCAACGCCGCGUGAAGGAAGAAGGCCUUCGGGUUGUAAACUUUUUUGAUUGGGGAAGAAAAAAAUGACGGUACCCAAGGAACAAGCCACGGCUAACUACGUGCCAGCAGCCGCGGUAAUACGUAGGUGGCGAGCGUUGUCCGGAAUUACUGGGUGUAAAGGGCGUGUAGGCGGGAUUGUAAGUCAGAUGUGAAAUUCCAGGGCUUAACUCUGGAGGUGCAUCUGAAACUAUAAUUCUUGAGUGCUGGAGAGGAAAGCGGAAUUCCUAGUGUAGCGGUGAAAUGCGUAGAUAUUAGGAAGAACACCAGUGGCGAAGGCGGCUUUCUGGACAGUAACUGACGCUGAGGCGCGAAAGCGUGGGGAGCAAACAGGAUUAGAUACCCUGGUAGUCCACGCUGUAAACGAUGGAUACUAGGUGUAGGAGGUAUCGACCCCUUCUGUGCCGGAGUUAACACAAUAAGUAUCCCACCUGGGGAGUACGGCCGCAAGGCUGAAACUCAAAGGAAUUGACGGGGGCCCGCACAAGCAGUGGAGUAUGUGGUUUAAUUCGAAGCAACGCGAAGAACCUUACCAGGGCUUGACAUCCCUCGGAUAACAUAGAGAUAUGUUAGUCCUUCGGGACGAGGAGACAGGUGGUGCAUGGUUGUCGUCAGCUCGUGUCGUGAGAUGUUGGGUUAAGUCCCGCAACGAGCGCAACCCCUAUUGUUAGUUGCCAUCAUUAAGUUGGGCACUCUAACGAGACUGCCGGUGACAAAUCGGAGGAAGGUGGGGACGACGUCAAAUCAUCAUGCCCCUUAUGUCCUGGGCUACACACGUACUACAAUGGUCACUACAAAGGGAAGCAAUACCGCAAGGAGGAGCAAAUCCCCAAAGGUGACCUCAGUUCGGAUUGUGGGCUGAACCCGCCCACAUGAAGUCGGAAUUGCUAGUAAUGGCAGGUCAGCAUACUGUCGUGAAUACGUUCCCGGGCCUUGUACACACCGCCCGUCACACCAUGAGAGUUUGCAACA